This is a long non-coding RNA of Rhinolophus ferrumequinum (greater horseshoe bat), 2019 nucleotides long. RefSeq lists it as uncharacterized. The record is from RefSeq and is a predicted model, not a curated record. Lineage: Eukaryota; Metazoa; Chordata; Mammalia; Chiroptera; Rhinolophidae. The transcript is spliced from 6 exons.
UCCGGGCGCCCGCGGAGGCGGCGGCGCCCGGAUCCCGCUCCCGCCGGGCUCACGGGUACCCGAGGGCGAGAGAGACCCCGAAUCCCGACGCGGUCCGGGACCUGGGCGCGGCCGCACCCCCCACCCACCCCAGCGCGGGGGCCGGGCCGCGGGAACGCCCUCCCGGGACGAAGCGCUUCCCGGUGCCUUCAAGAUUUCUCAGACUCCCCUGAACUGGGGGUGGGAGACAUCCCUUGCAGGGUAUUUCUCACCAUCUCAAUACAAACUGAAACAUCAGAUAUGUCCUGGAGGAGACACACAUGAAGCACCUUGUUUUUAACUUUAUCAUCAUCAUCAUCUUCAUCAUCUAGAAAUUGAUGGAGAAAGUUAAGAGAUCCAAAGAGAGAGAUGUCUUGCCUAAGGUCACACAGCUAGUACUCGGUGGCUCCAUCCUUGCAUCUUCACUUCCAUCGAAUGAAUCAAAUAUGCCUUUCCACCAUGUCAGAAGGGGUAUCCCAGACACAGAAGGAUGUGUAACAUCCUAAGGUCACACAACCAAGAAAUCAGAAGGUGGGACUCAAACACAGGCAAGUUCUAAACCAUGCUGGAUCCAAUCGCUUCUUUCCAUCUUCUCAUCCACCAUGCAAGUCCAGGCACCACCUCCUCAGCAAGAUGUCUGUAACAGUAUACCCGCUCUUCCGGCAGCUGCUGUUGCUCUCUGCCCUAGAUGAAAACCCUCGAGUGAUUAUCUCUGCACUGGUAGAACAAAAUCCAAAUCCUUACAGUGGCCUACGGAGCCCUGCAAGACCUGACCCCUGCCUCUCCAGAUGAACGUUGUGAAGUUCAAAGAAGAGUUACCACUUGGCCAAGGUCGUAUGAUCGGUAAGAGGAAGAGCAGGACUUCAUCCCAGGCCUCCCUCUUCACUCUGGGUAUAUCUCACCCAUCACACCAUAUACUGCCUCUCGGAGAGCAGGGCCAGCUCAUUCUCCCUGCUUCCCUGUCCUUUCCCUUCCUUCAGUUCCUCCAAUGAGGGGUUCCUGCCUUGACUUCUUUAGCUGGCAGAGGAGAUCAGAAGGUCUGCUGGGACCUGGCUCCUAAUAUAGGAAUUGUGAUCAUUGCUGUUUUUUCCGGAGAGGUUACCAGGGGGCAGGCACUGCACUCAUAUCACCUCACAGAACCCUCACCACCACCAUCCUAUAAAGCAAAGACUAUGAUCUGGGGCUCAGAAAGGCAAAGCCACUUGCCUGACGUGACACAGCUUAGGAACUAGAAAAAGCCAGGGUUCAUACACCUGUCCUUACGACAUCAGACUUUGUAACUCAGAAGAGGGAAGUCAGCUCCAACCUGGAGAGUACACUCCCAUGCCAUGCCACAGCAGUCCCAGCUGUCCCUUUAGAAGGACUGCUGAUCUGCUCUGCCAUAAGGACCAGCAAGCCCCAGAGGGUCAAGAGCCCUGGGGGCACUCAAGAUGACCCACCAAGAAAAGACGAGGCCUUCUAGAUGUGUUGCUUUCUAUUUCAGUCUCUAAAAAUUUCUUUUGUGUAUGUUUUAUAGCAAAGAUAUUAUGACACUAUAAUUAUAUACAUAUAUUAUCAAUAAGUAAAUCUCUAUGCUUUAGAGAUAUGGGUUCAAAGAUUGCUUCCUCUUAGGAAUGGAUGAUCACAAAAAUUUGGAAACCAUUCGUUAAGACAGUAGGGACAAGGCUAGAAAGAAUUAUUAUAGAAUAUCUAUGUAUAAAAGAAUGAAGUUAGGCCCCUGCCUAUCUUCACCGUAUUCAAAAAUCAACUCCAAAUGGAUCAAAGACCUACAACUCUUAAGUUGGUGCAAAAGUAAUUGUGGUUUUAGCAAUUAUUUUUAACCUUUUAAACCGCAAUUACUUUUGCGCCAACCUAAUAUAAAACUCUUAGUAGAAAAACAUAGGCUAAAUCUUCGUGACCUUGGGUUUGGCAAUGGAUUCUUAGUUAUGUCACCAGAGCACAAGCAACAAAAGACAGAAGAGAUUAAUUAGAAUUCAUCAAAAUUGAAAAUUUUGUAUAUCA